CUGGGGGAAGGACAGGAAAAGAACAUUUUCAGACCACAUGUGUUUUGUGGAAGAAAGAUUCUAGCUAUGCAAAAAGAGAUUGUAUAAUGAGCCAUCCACAUACAUAGGAAGAAAAAAAGCAGGUUAUCCUGAAUGAAACUAGUAUUGACUAUUUUUGUUUUGGCCUUCUGGCUUUUUACAAAUCUAGAUCAGGCAGAGAAUGUGGCCUUAGCUAGGUGACAAGACAGGUAGAACGGACACUCAUCUGCUUUCCCAUGGUGUGUUUAAUAUCUUCCCAACUGGCGAUUGUCUGGCCAGGUGAACUUAUCCCACUUGCGGCACUUCAUUUACCUGGAUACAGUAGGAGAUCUCUUCACACCCUAAAAAACUGGGCACCAGAUCCUGUGGAAAUUGGCAGGCCUGGGAAUUAACUUCAGUUAACUGGACUAGUUAAACCCCACUGAAAUCCUCUUCUGAUGCCUCACAGGAAAUUAGCCAGGAUUCUUUAAGGAAGAAGAGCAGGCCCAGUGUCUAGCCCACUAGCACAGUGUCUGGUACAUAAAGAUGAGCCCAGUAAUUGCUAGUUAAAUUAAAUUGAGUGAAGCACCUUGUGGUUCAAGAAGGUUUCUGCCUACACCAUUAUUGUCUGCCUUAUCCAUUAAGCAGUAAGACAUCUUGAACUGGAGCGAUCAGACUGGCUUGGUCAGCCCUGACAUACUACAUUUGGCAUUUAAGGAUCUCUGCAAUCUCACAGGAUUCAGACGUGGAAGCAGCCCCAGAGCUCAACACUCCAACCCCCUUGCAGAUGGUGAAGGAGGGGAGGAGGGGGAAGAAUGACCAGCUCAACUAGCAAGGGACAGAUCCAAGAGGGAGGUUAGAAACAGGAAAGUCAUGGGCUUCAAGCCAGGAAGGAGAAGACACUGAGGAAGAAAAGGAAGCAGAAAAGGAAGAAAAAAGCCAGCAGUGACAAACUUCUUAACCUCACAAUUUUGCCUGCCCUAUUUUUCAUCUGUCUAGGGGGCAAAGGGGAGCUGUUUGAUAAGGAGUAUACCUAAACGAAACCCAGUGGAAAUGAAAUCCAAUAUUGAAGAACCUUGCUGGAACCCUCUGUGCUAUAAGUUAAGUCCAUUUCUUCACAACAUAUAUUGCAUACCUCAUCAUCAUCAUCAUAAGGAAUAUGAAAUUAGAGUAUCAUUAUCUUUACCUGAAAAAGUAAGAACUCUCCACCAUCCUGAUUUUCAAUUACUCUUUUAAAACAAA
Phascolarctos cinereus (koala) is the source of this 1239-nucleotide non-coding RNA. The record is from RefSeq and is a predicted model, not a curated record. NCBI's taxonomy places the organism in Eukaryota, Metazoa, Chordata, Mammalia, Diprotodontia, Phascolarctidae.